AUACGGAGGGUGCAAGCGUUACUCGGAAUCACUGGGCGUAAAGCGCGCGCAGGCGGCUAUUUAAGUUGGAUGUGAAAGCCUACGGCUCAACCGUAGAACUGCAUCCAAAACUAUUUAGCUAGAGUGUGGGAGAGGAAGAUGGAAUUAGUUGUGUAGGGGUAAAAUCCGUAGAGAUAACUAGGAAUACCAAAAGCGAAGGCAAUCUUCUGGAACACUACUGACGCUGAGGCGCGAAAGCGUGGGGAGCAAACGGGAUUUGAAACCCUAGUAGUCC
This 274-nucleotide ribosomal RNA is filed under the name uncultured bacterium. RNAcentral's name for it is "partial 16S ribosomal RNA". It matches the Rfam family "Bacterial small subunit ribosomal RNA", at positions 523 to 796 of the family's 1533-position model. The record is from RNAcentral.